CAGUCGCCACGGGAAAACGAAGGGGGCUAGCGUUGCUCGGAAUGACUGGGCGUAAAGCGUGCGUAGGCGGCUAAUUGAGUCGGAUGUGAAAUCCCCGAGCUUAACUUGGGAAUUGCAUUCGAUACUGGUUAGCUAGAGUGUGGGAGAGGAUGGUAGAAUUCCAGGUGUAGCGGUGAAAUGCGUAGAGAUCUGGAGGAAUACCGAUGGCGAAGGCAGCCAUCUGGCCUAACACUGACGCUGAGGUACGAAAGCAUGGGGAGCAAACAGGAUUAGAUACCCCUGUAGUCCCUGUCUCUUAUAC
This 301-nucleotide ribosomal RNA is filed under the name uncultured bacterium. RNAcentral's name for it is "partial 16S ribosomal RNA". It matches the Rfam family "Bacterial small subunit ribosomal RNA", at positions 509 to 807 of the family's 1533-position model. The record is from RNAcentral.